This is a long non-coding RNA of Apis cerana (Asiatic honeybee), 4916 nucleotides long. RefSeq lists it as uncharacterized. The record is from RefSeq and is a predicted model, not a curated record. Lineage: Eukaryota; Metazoa; Arthropoda; Insecta; Hymenoptera; Apidae.
CAAUAACUUACAUUUGUUUUAUCAUCUCAAACGAAACGCAAGUAUAUAUUUAAAAAAAAGAAAAUCUACAUUUCUUUCAAUCUGACAAGUCUCUCCAUACACUGCAAACUUGUACAAAUUUACUUCACCGGUUUCUUUCAGGUGUUAACAACUGACGACCAACUUGACAAAGUGAUUCGCCACAAUUGAAUUGCGCAAAAGCACGAAACAAAAAGAAAGUUGGCUACGUUGUUGAGCGCAAUACGGUUAUCAAGCGGAGGAGUUCGCGAGAAAGCACAAAGCUCACCACUAUAAGCUGGUAAUGAAGUUGGCAAGUAGAGAUACCGAGUCGACGUUCGUAAUACCGCGCCAAAAAGGCGAGAUCAAAUCGCGAAACUCCGCCUUUUCUGCGUUUUAGGUCGGCGAUGGAAAAAUCUAUCGACGAUUGUUUUAAAAACGACGGAAAUUCCCCGUGUAACGAUACCGUUACGAUAUUCGAUGAAUUUUUCAAGGCUCGUCGCUCAAAGACGACCAGAACACUUAAGCUAGGUCAAAACUUAAAGCCGGAUCCACGCUUAACGAACGAGUAAUUCUUUUUAUUUCUACUUUUAUUCCAUUUCCACGUUCAACGUAAGUAUAAACAAAUAUCUUUUUGUUAAUUCUAAAUUCAGGGAUAACUCGAACUUUUUUAUACGUAUUAUAUUUUCAUUAAAAAGAGAUCAUUCAUCAACGUUAUUUUCUCUGUCACGAUCUCGUAUAAUUUGGAAAUAUUAAAUUACAGUUUUGUUCAAAGUGAAUCUUUCUAAAUUCGUGCAGUCCAUCUGUUACUCUGAUAUAUUCUUCGAUAAUAUCGAAGAAUAUUCAAGAAUACUCUAUUUGUAAUAAAUACUUAAACUUUAAAUUUAAAUUUACGUCAAUAUUGUUGUCUUUUUCUUAAUUAUUCGUAUAACAAUUGUAAUAUUGAUCACGUUACGAUUAUCACAUUCAUUUGUAUUCUUAAUAUCUAUAUUUAUUCGCCCAAUGUAAAUCUGGCUUAAGACGCCUGUUUCAAGAAACAGGCAACGGGCUGAAUUUCCAACAAUUUUCCCGUUGGAUAAUUUGCACAUCGAAAGUACCUCGUGGUGGAAAAUGGUCCGCUAUAGGCCAUUCUCUUUUCGUUUCUCAUCCAGUUGUAGAAGGGGAAGCGCAGAAACCAGAGCGAAUUCCUCGUAGAACAGAAUUUCCGCGAACGGAGAAAAGAUGGCGUGAACAGGCGAGGGAGAGACGAAGGUCUGAUAGAGAGGCAGUUGCGUGUUCUCCCUCGUCUCGUAAUAAAGCUCACGCGAACACGUUGUUGACAGAAAAAUAAAAGCCUGGCUGUGUGUUCGUGACAGCUGUGCCUGUCGGGAGGGAAAUAUCGCGUAUCCUUUCUCGAUUAUGCGUUUACACGAAAAUACGGGCUGGCAAAUAUUUCACGCGUGCAGGACGAAAAUUCCCAAAAUUGUUAGACACGUGGCGCUUUUGCCACGUGAAAAUAUUUUCUCGAAAUUCUCCCCGUUUCUCCGUCGGUACACACAUCCAUAAUUGAAUUUUCUUUUUAUUCGUUCAGGAUAAAUGGGGAGGCAAGGGAAAUAUUGCGAUUAAUUAUAAUUUAUUUUGUUACUGAGUUGAAGAAUUGAGGUAGAUUGGCUUGAUGUAAUGAUAUUGAUGAAAGAAAUUAAGUUAUAGAUUUUGACGAAAUUGUAUAAUUUUUUUUAAUUCUUACGUUAUUUGUGUCAUUAAUAUGUUCAUGUGUGUCCUUUGAUAUCAUUGUAUAAUAUCAUCGUUCCUAUCUUUCAGAAAUUUAUUGUCCAAAAUUUUUAUAAUCGUAUAGAUACAUAAAUAAUUUUAUUUGAUUUUGUAGAAGAAAAGAUAUAACAUUAUUGUACGGAUGUAUAAAUAUAUAUAUAUUAUACGUUAUACUGUUGACAUAGAAUAAACACAAUAAUAUAAAACUACAAUUUUAUAUAAAAUGUAGAAUUUAAAGAUAAUAAAACACGGAAAACAAAUAAAAAUAACAAAAAGCAUCUGAUGAAAAAAAAUUUCUCAAUAAAUGCCAAUAAUUAUUUUACAAUUAAACUGUUUGUUCGCGGAUCAAAAUUAAUUCGCACUUUCAUACAUAUAUCAUUUGGAAUAAAAAAAUCAGAUAAACACAAACACUUUCAAAAAAAAAACCUAUCAUUCAAAAAUUAAAAAUAUCAUUAUGAAAAAAUGACGAUAUACCUUCCAAUAAAACCAUCAUUUUAAAUGGUAAUAACAGUUGUUGCUAACAAAUCGCGAAUCGUAAUUAGAUUAUUAACGUUCGAAAUAUCAAAUUUCAUCAAUCCUCGAAAUGUUCGAUCAAAAAUAGCGUUUGAACAUUUCGCAGAAUAACUGCGCGUGGCUCGUUCCCAUGCAAACCAGCUCGAAAUAAUGUAUAGGGCCAUUAUCGACGCUUCUCGACCGGCGCGAAGAAUAAAUAUUUUAAUGCUCCCGAAGUUAAUCACCCGGGAUUGGUAGCAAUUAAAUUCAUCGACAGUGAAAUCAUCGGAUCGGCAUUGGAUAACGAGCAGUCAUUGCAUCCGGUCUGCAUCUUCCGCGAUGAAAAAUUAACGUCUGCGGAUUUUUGUACAAAUAUAUUUUUCAUACAACGUAUGUUCAUAAUCAUAAAAUGUCUUUAAUGUUGUACUUUAAUCGAUCGCUAAAUUAUUGAAGAGUAAAAAUAAUUUUGUUCCUGAUAAGAUUAUAAGAUGCUAAAUUGUAUUGCAUUAUAUGUUUUUCAUUAUUAUUAAUUGAUAAAAAUUAAGCUUCUGAAAGAUUUGAUUCUGAAAAAGUUUCAACAGAUUUUUUAACGAACGUUACAGUUUACUUGGUCAUUUUUAUUUUAUUGAAAAUUUACGAUACGAUUGAAAUAAGUAAGUAUUAUCAAAAUUAUUUUUUUAAAAUGUGAUUAAUAAAGAAAUGUAAGAAGAUUUCGUUUUAUUUUUUAGAAAUAUUUACUCAAAACGUAAUAUAAAUUUUCCGAUUCCGUUUCGUCAAGUAGUCGAAUGCUGUGCUGUGUAAAUAGAAAUGUAUGGUGACAUAGUAAUGUAGUAUACUAGUAUGUAGUUACGAUACUGGACUAAAAAUAUAUGAAUGAUAUGAAUUUAUGAAUUAGAAGAACGAAAAUUCGCAAAUGAGAAAAAUAAAAUAUGAAUAAAUGAUAAAUAAUGGGAGAUUAAAGUUACAGAAAAGAAGAAAAAGUUUAAAUAACUUAUGAACACGUGGAUAUAUGUUCAUAUUCGGGAGACACCGUAUAUUCCGUUGAAAACCAAGAAAAUUUACCUCUAAUUUCGAUAUUUUGCAUCGCAAGUAUUGUAUCUCCGGAUCGAUAUUCAUAAUCCAACAAUGUAGAUGUAAAACGUAUUCUUGUAUAAGAAUCUUACCUGAUAUAAAGAGAAGCAAUCCGAUCAAGAGAAGAAGAUCCAUAGUCUUGCCUUCUUUUUUCUAGCUUCGCUCUACUUUUGUGUCAUCCUCCGUGUCGAAGACUCGUUUCCGGCAAAUCCACUUGUCGAUGUCGUUGCGGCUCUAUCCGUUUCUUCCUCACCGGAUGACAGGUGAUCGAAAGAUCCCGUUGAUAUCGAUCGAGACUUGGCAAUAUUUUCCUUUCUUUUCGAAAGAGAAAUUGAUCAAAUGAUGACUGCCAGAAAUCCACUAAAAACUGAGACUGAAUGAGAGUGAUUCCACGAAAAUUUCACGAAAAAGGAAAUGUAACCGGACGAAAAUUCGUAGAGAGAGAGAGAGAGAGAGAAACGAAUUUCCGCGAGAAUUCCACGCGAUUUCCGGAAGCUACGAUACGAAAAUAAGUCUCGCGGAGUGCGAAGAGUCGGUCGAGAAACCGGUGAACGACGAGAUGGUGUACGACGAGCGCAAGAGGUCCAGUGAACGAAAGACUCGACGAAGAUGCGGAGCAACACGCGGUGUUGUUAACUAAGCUGCCGCUGUUCACAGGGCUGUGUGACACGCUGCAUAGAGCGCGGUACGAGACCAGUUCGAAGACUGAGUACGAGUCCAUAUCCCGGAGGCUGACUUCUCUCGGCCCUACCAGGGUACGCCGUACAGUAAUGCCCGUCCAUUGCCCGCCUCUGGAUAACGUUUCCUUCCACCAUUAGGCAACACACGCGAUACACGGUUCGCCGUGAAACACGUUGUGCUCUCCGUGUCCUCAACGCGGGGGAAUCGUUGCGGGAUUAUCGCGGAUCUUUUGGAGGAGCCUCUCUCUUUCUCUCUUUCUUUCUGUCCAUCUUGCUCGCUCCCUCUCUUUCUUUCUUGGUUCCUUUCUGGUAUGGAGACCUGGUCGUUGGAAAUGAAACGAUAAGAUUCGAAGUUGGAAUAAUUCAAGGGCGAGUUUCUGAAAAUAGAUUGGUUCUUUAUGCAUUCAAUGGUUGAGAAUAGUAUGGUGUAGUUUGAGAGUUGAAAAUGGGUGAGUGAGAAUGAUGUGAAAAUAAGAUAAUAUAAAGUUUGAACAAAUCGAUAUCGAUAUGUAAUAAUUAUAAUUUAUUUGUUUAGAAUAAUUUUGAAAUAGAUUGGUUUCUUCGUAUUGGAAUUUUGAGAAUAUGAAUUAAAUAUUUAAUAUUGAAAAUACGUGAAUGAGAAUGAAUUAAAAUAAAGUUUGAAAGUGUUAAUAUGAUUAAAAUAAUUAAAAUUUAUCUUUUAGAAUAAUUCAGAGGUGAGUUCUCCUUUGGUUGGUUUCUUUUAAAAAAAAUAUUGUGUUAGAAUAAUAUAAGUUAAUAUCUAAAUUCUAAUCUAAAUUCUGAAAAUAUAAUAAAAUUUAUUUUUUAGGACAACACUUCUAAUAAGAUAAUAAUUAUAAAAAAAAUCCGUUAUAAAUUAUAAUGUAAUGUAAUAAAAUGUUACUAUUUGUAAUCGUUGAAAAUAUAUUUUUUAAAAAUAUAGAAAAA